UGCUUAGAGUCAGGAGAAUAAACGGUCCCAUAUAGAGAUAGGUUUAUGAAGCGGAGUCUGAAGGAUGAGCUUCAUCAGCAAUCCUCAGAAUGUCAGUUCUACUAGCUAAGGAUGCAGGUAAGUAUGUUGGACACCAAGAGAACAGGAAGGAAGUGUUUUGAACACUGGAGGUGGGUCAUGAGGAAGCUUAUACAUAUUCACAUUGUGAAUCAAUUUCAAGGACAGAUGAACAAAGACUGGGCGUUACCAAUAGAGCAGGGUUUUGUUUUGUUUUUCCCCUAAGGCAAAAGGCAGAAAUGAGUGGGUACACCAUGAUUAAGUUGCAUUCUGUAGAGAUAGGAUCAUUUAAGUCAAGUCAGCAACAAAAAUUAGAGACAUUGAAGAUGAUGGGGUAGAAAAGGGGUAUCAAAUAGGUUAGAAAGAUGGCUUGAAAGGAAAUGAGGGAAAUUUCAGUGAGUUUGAGGAAUGGCAGACUGGGUAUGUGACAAAUGAGUGGGUAAAUAAGGAAAUCUCAGACUGAGAAUCCUGGCAGAUCUUUCAAUGGGUUAGACUGCAGGAAUAUUGAUUUUAAAGCCAGACUGAAGCAAAUUCUAGUGAUAAAGGAAGGGGAAAGGGUGGCUGAAUCAAAUGUUCUACCAAUACUGCUUUUUUUAGUAUUUGAGUUAAAAUUCAGAUUAAAUGCUUGGCUUAGAAGAAUGCAAAGCUUCACUGAGCCUAAUAAUAUGGAUCCCAGUGGGUGAGUGGAGGUGAGUUAAAGUAAAAAACUCUGAGGCAAAUCUUACUUAACUGAAGUUGUGUUUUUAGUACAGAAUGCCAAGUUAAUAUGGUUAAUACUGAACAAAAAAUAAUGGAAGGGCAACUACAGUAGCUUAAGAUGGCACUUUAAGGAAGUGUAGGCAGAAAGUCAAGAAAUUAAAAUAAUUAUGAAUCAUUAUAUGGCAGGCAAUAUUUCCAAUGAAAAUCAGAGAAAAUAAACUCACAUACAUGUACUGUUACAGCUGAUCUUAGUAUGAAUAUUUUCUAUUAAAGACUGUUUUAAAAUAAGUUAUUAAUAUUUGUUGAAAUGGUUCCAGAUAACAAGAAAUAUGAUGCAAUAAAACCUGAUAAAUAAAAGCAAUAUAAAGAUUAGAAUGGUUUUGAAUAGGUAGUGGAAUAAAAAGUUAAGUUGGUAGUUGCAUUAAAAAGGUCAAACAUGGGGAAUAAUUGGUAGAAUGUUGUGUAUAUAAUAUAUAUUGUUACGGGUGCAAUAAAUAUUCAGGGGAAACAGAGCUGCUGAAAGAGAAUGAAUGCUUAGAAGGAAUGUUGCCUUAAAGGCUUUUCUAAAACUUUUUAGGUAAAGGACAAAUUCUGGGAGGACGAAAGAUAAUAAGUAGGACUAGUUACAUAGAGACUUAGGAUGUCCAUAGUCUUUCAAGAAAUUGCCCAACCUUUGCGAGAAGGUGUUAUGGUAAUAUAUUGAUGUUGGGUUAAAGCAAAUUUUUUCAGAUAGGGUAGAUUUUUAUACAUUUAUAAAGUAAAGGGGAGUAGGAAAGAUUAAAGAUAGAUCAAAGAAAGGAAUAAUUGAUGGAACAACUUUCUGGAAGAGAUUAGAGGGUAUGUGUCUUUUGAACUCUGGAAGACUUGAUUUUAGAGAGGAUAAAGGAAGAAAGUGGAUAAUUCUAGAAUUAAACACCAAAAGGUUCUAUGUGUCUGGCACCAUGUGAAGCAACUUACCUAUUAUUUCAUUUCAUUUCAUUUCAUUUCAUUUCAUUUCAUCCUAUAACAGUCCUAAGAGAUCAAAUAAUUUGUCCACGAUUACACAGUCAGUAUGUAGCAGGGCCAGCAUUCAAAUCCUCAUCUGUCUAUCAAACCCAUAUUCCCUUCUAUUAUGCUAUACUGUUUUCAAGUUGAAGGAAAUCAAACCAAGAAUUUCUGUUUUUUCACUGCGAUUAUAAGGAAAAAUAUUAUUUUUCUGAAAUGAGACAUAUUGAUGUUUAAGACCUUGAGGUGACAGGUAAAAUUUGGAAUAUCUGUGAUGGGAAAAUGCAAAAAGGAAGGAAUGGGUGAAAGAUACCUAUUACCAUCUAUGCCCUGGUAUUUCACUUCUUCCAUUGCACAGCAUAGACUUUAGAUUGGCCAUGGAUUAAAAAUUUGAGAAUUCUGACAAAAAACUAAAUAGAAAGGAGUUUGUUUUUUAAGUAGGUAUAUGAUGGGUCAAAUAUAAACUUACUACUAACAAAACUUUAAACAAUUCCCUAAAUGCCAAACUUUUAUAAACAAAAAUCAAACAAACCAUCAAGCAAAAGAGUCCAUAGCCAGCAGACCAAAUGUUGAAAUCUCUGGGCUAAUUUGUAAGAUCUAUGUUUUAAAACUCCUUAGUGAAGAGGGGCAAGAAAACCUCUCCUCUUUUUCCUCUCUUGGUGGAAAUGUUUUGUUGUUGUUGUUGGUUUUUUCCUAUACUAUAUGUAAUUUCUAUAUUGUUGUUUUGUGUAUUUUGGUAUUAUAAAAUUAUACUUCUUAGAUUCCGUUAAGAAUACUUUCUGGGGUGUGAGCCACCUGAGUUAUUAGUUAGCAAAAUGAACCUGGGGAAGUGGGAAGAGCUAGUAUUCUCAAUUGGCAAGGGAUUGAUUCUUCAAUGGGUUCAGCAUUUCACUUCCCUCUGAAAUUAAGUGGCAAAGUAAUAGCAUCCCUUAAAAAACAGGACAUUGGUGAGAGGUAGAAUAGCAGGAGGAAUUUUGAAACAUGGAGGGAUGGCUACUGGAAAAGAACUGAUGAAGUGCAGAGUCUCUCCAGACAAUGGUAGAAACCACAGGACUACAUUAAGAUUGGGCCCAAAUACUAGUUUAGAAAAAGGUAAAUAAAACUAGCUUUACUUAAGAGUACAGCCAGCUUAAUUACUGGCUAGUGGACAUAUUUCAGACAAAUCUAACUGGAGAGAAAAACAGACCAGGAGAGAAAGCGAAGUUACAAGGAAAUGGAACUAGAGAAACCUCACAAAGGGAUAAAGGAGGUAAUUAAAGGUUAAAGCCAGAUAGCCUCGAGCUCAAAGGAGAAAUAUUGGAGGCCAGAUAGGAAAGUGCCUUCCUACUCAGGGGGUUAUGGAUCCAGGGUGGCUAAAGAAUAGAAGUAGAGUUCCACCCAGGGCCAGAGGGAACAAUCUGGGAUUCAGACACAGCAGUGGUGCCAACGUGAAUCUACCUCGUGCUAGAGUCUGAGUAGCCUAGUCUAUCACCCAACACAGAUAAGACUGGACAGGGGCUCCCAGGAACCAACAUCUAAGAAGGGAGUUUGGAGAGGGGCUAAAAGAAAGCAGGUUAAGCCCCAAAUGUAACUGAAUGAUGACCAGGGAUAACUAUUUACUAGUGCUUUUAUGAUUUAUUGUAACUCUGUAACUUUCCCAGUAUUUGUUAAUUUUUUAACUUCUGUUUCUCCUGUACUUACGAGCAGUAAAAGUUGUUCAAAACAUAAAAAAAAAAAAAAAAAA
RNAcentral lists this long non-coding RNA (3463 nucleotides) under Homo sapiens (human). Its description in RNAcentral is "COPG2 imprinted transcript 1 (COPG2IT1)". The record is from RNAcentral. Lineage: Eukaryota; Metazoa; Chordata; Mammalia; Primates; Hominidae.